AUUGAACGCUGGCGGCAUGCCUUACACAUGCAAGUCGAACGGCAGCACGGGUGCUUGCACCUGGUGGCGAGUGGCGAACGGGUGAGUAAUACAUCGGAACAUGUCCUGUAGUGGGGGAUAGCCCGGCGAAAGCCGGAUUAAUACCGCAUACGAUCUACGGCUGACAGCGGGGGACCUUCGGGCCUCGCGCUAUAGGGUUGGCCGAUGGCUGAUUAGCUAGUUGGUGGGGUAAAGGCCUACCAAGGCGACGAUCAGUAGCUGGUCUGAGAGGACGACCAGCCACACUGAGACUGAGACACGGCCCAGACUCCUACGGGAGGCAGCAGUGGGGAAUUUUGGACAAUGGGCGAAAGCCUGAUCCAGCAAUGCCGCGUGUGUGAAGAAGGCCUUCGGGUUUUAAAGCACUUUUGUCCGGAAAGAAAUCCUUGGCCCUAAUACGGUCGGGGGAUGACGGUACCGGAAGAAUAAGCACCGGCUAACUACGUG
Molecule: ribosomal RNA, 486 nt
Filed under: uncultured bacterium
Lineage: Bacteria
Description: partial 16S ribosomal RNA
Rfam family: Bacterial small subunit ribosomal RNA
Source: RNAcentral